UUGAUGGACAUUGGGGUUGUUUCUGCCUUUUGGUUAGCGUGAAUACAGUUGCUAUGAACAUUAGUAUGCAAAUGUAAGUUUGAAUCUCUGUUCUGAAUUCUUUUGGUUACACACCUGUAAGUGGACUUGCUGGGUCAUACGGUAAUUCUAUGCUUAACCUUUUGAGGAACCACCAAAGUGUUUCAACAAUAGCUGCACCAUUUUUCACUCUCAGCAGCAAUAUAUGCGGGUUCCAGUUUCUCACAGGCGAGGGGGAUGGAGGGAUGGGAUGGAAGAUGCCUGGGCUGGGAGUCGGUGCCCAGUGUUCCCUCCUGAUCUUAGAUCAGACUCCUCAGCUUCUUGGCCAUUGGAGCAGGGCUGCUCCCCAUACCCACUGUGGCAGUCCCCUGGAGUCCCCCAGGCUUCACCCAGCAGCACCCAGGUGACAGGUCCCCAACAACCCCCUUGGACACGCUCAGACACUCCAGGGCUUUCAACAAUUAGAAGCCUGCCCUCUGCCGGCUGCUCAGUGACACAGACCCCAGGACCCAGCAACAGAAACAGGAACGCGCAGGCGCGGCUCUAGCGAGGUGGAGUCUGCGCUGCACUGCCGGCUGUGGUGGCGGCACUUCCGACUUCUGAGGGAAAGAGGCCAAGGCUGGGGCCGAGCUCGGAGCCCCAGCGCUGGAUCAGCCUGGGGGCGGGCUCCGGUCCAGCCACCGGCGCACCCGGGGCAGAAGCUGCGCCCGAGGAUCAGGCCGGCUCAGCCACGCUUAAGUGAAGCCGAGAUGGACUUGACAGGCCGGGGGGAGAUAACCACAAGUUACUUCCUGAUAAAGGGCUGGAGAGUCCCUGGGCCUUCCAACCAAUUAACCAGAUAAGAAGAGCAAGGCGUAAUCAGAAGCCUGUCCUGCAACUUAAAAACCAACCAAUCAAAAGGCAGUCCCACGGCUUGAAAACCAACCAAUCAGGAGCCAAGACAAUCAGCCACUUUUGAAGGAGCAAAUGAAUUAAGGGAGGGAGGGGGAAUGGCAUACCCCAUGCAUGUAAUCUGCUGAAAAGUAUAAAAGAAAUUCACCCCCCGCUGUGCGGGAUCCCUGCCCAUGGAAAGAGACCACUGCGUUGGUGCUCCGGGCUUGGACCCCAGCUCAAGCUAGUCAAUAAAACUCCUUUGCCUUUUUGCAGCCUCA
Long non-coding RNA from Lemur catta (Ring-tailed lemur), 1169 nucleotides. RefSeq lists it as uncharacterized. The record is from RefSeq and is a predicted model, not a curated record. The transcript has 2 exons. Lineage: Eukaryota; Metazoa; Chordata; Mammalia; Primates; Lemuridae.